GACGAACGCUGGCGGCGUGCUUAACACAUGCAAGUCGAACGGAAAGGCCCUGCUUUUGUGGGGUGCUCGAGUGGCGAACGGGUGAGUAACACGUGAGUAACCUGCCCUUGACUUUGGGAUAACUUCAGGAAACUGGGGCUAAUACCGGAUAGGAGCUCCUGCUGCAUGGUGGGGGUUGGAAAGUUUCGGCGGUUGGGGAUGGACUCGCGGCUUAUCAGCUUGUUGGUGGGGUAGUGGCUUACCAAGGCUUUGACGGGUAGCCGGCCUGAGAGGGUGACCGGCCACAUUGGGACUGAGAUACGGCCCAGACUCCUACGGGAGGCAGCAGUGGGGAAUAUUGCACAAUGGGCGGAAGCCUGAUGCAGCAACGCCGCGUGCGGGAUGACGGCCUUCGGGUUGUAAACCGCUUUCGCCCGUGACGAUGCGUGAGUGACGGUAAUGGGUAAAGAAGCACCGGCUAACUACGUG
RNAcentral lists this ribosomal RNA (468 nucleotides) under uncultured bacterium. Its description in RNAcentral is "partial 16S ribosomal RNA". It matches the Rfam family "Bacterial small subunit ribosomal RNA", at positions 28 to 507 of the family's 1533-position model. The record is from RNAcentral.